Molecule: ribosomal RNA, 253 nt
Filed under: uncultured bacterium
Lineage: Bacteria
Description: partial 16S ribosomal RNA
Rfam family: Bacterial small subunit ribosomal RNA
Source: RNAcentral
UACGGAGGGUGCAAACGUUGCUCGGAAUCAUUGGGCGUAAAGCGCGUGUAGGCGGCUUUGCAAGUCGGGUGUGAAAUCCCUCAGCUUAACUGAGGAAGUGCGCCCGAAACUGCCGAGCUUGAGUACCGGAGAGGGUGGCGGAAUUCCCCAAGUAGAGGUGAAAUUCGUAGAUAUGGGGAGGAACACCGGUGGCGAAGGCGGCCACCUGGACGGAUACUGACGCUGAGACGCGAAAGCGUGGGGAGCAAACAGG